Molecule: transfer RNA, 83 nt
Filed under: Colletotrichum graminicola M1.001
Lineage: Eukaryota; Fungi; Ascomycota; Sordariomycetes; Glomerellales; Glomerellaceae
Description: tRNA-Arg for anticodon CCU
Rfam family: tRNA
About the family: Transfer RNA (tRNA) molecules are approximately 80 nucleotides in length. Their secondary structure includes four short double-helical elements and three loops (D, anti-codon, and T loops). Further hydrogen bonds mediate the characteristic L-shaped molecular structure. tRNAs have two regions of fundamental functional importance: the anti-codon, which is responsible for specific mRNA codon recognition, and the 3' end, to which the tRNAs corresponding amino acid is attached (by aminoacyl-tRNA synthetases). tRNAs cope with the degeneracy of the genetic code in two manners: having more than one tRNA (with a specific anti-codon) for a particular amino acid; and 'wobble' base-pairing, i.e. permitting non-standard base-pairing at the 3rd anti-codon position.
Source: Rfam by way of RNAcentral
GGCUGGCUGGCCAAAUGGUAAGGCGUCGGACUCCUAUCAAGAGCGUAAUCCGAAGAUUCUGGGUUCGAGUCCCAGGUUGGUCG